GAUGAACGCUGGCGGCGUGCCUAAUACAUGCAAGUCGAGCGAAUCACUGGGAGCUUGCUCCCGGUGGUUAGCGGCGGACGGGUGAGUAACACGUAGGCAACCUGCCUGUAAGAUUCGGAUAACUUCGGGAAACCGGAGCUAAUACGGAAUAAUACCAUUCUCUGCAUAGAGAAUGGUUGAAAGGUGGCGCAAGCUACCACUUACAGAUGGGCCUGCGGCGCAUUAGCUAGUUGGUGAGGUAACGGCUCACCAAGGCGACGAUGCGUAGCCGACCUGAGAGGGUGAUCGGCCACACUGGGACUGAGACACGGCCCAGACUCCUACGGGAGGCAGCAGUAGGGAAUCUUCCGCAAUGGACGAAAGUCUGACGGAGCAACGCCGCGUGAGUGAUGAAGGUCUUCGGAUUGUAAAGCUCUGUUGUUAGGGAAGAACAAGUAUCGUUCGAAUAGGGCGGUACCUUGACGGUACCUAACGAGAAAGCCACGGCUAACUACGUG
This 497-nucleotide ribosomal RNA is filed under the name uncultured bacterium. Its description in RNAcentral is "bacterial SSU rRNA". It matches the Rfam family "Bacterial small subunit ribosomal RNA", at positions 28 to 507 of the family's 1533-position model. The record is from RNAcentral.